RNAcentral lists this long non-coding RNA (937 nucleotides) under Mytilus galloprovincialis (Mediterranean mussel). The record is from RNAcentral. Lineage: Eukaryota; Metazoa; Mollusca; Bivalvia; Mytilida; Mytilidae.
UUGUUUUUUGCUACUUGAUGAUGAUUUUUUUACAUGUUUAUUUAUCAUGUUUAUAAAUUAUUGGUUUGAUUGGUCCUAUGGUCCAUAGUUUUAAAUGUUUUUUUUUCACUUCGUCUACAAGAUCAAUUUCAUCCUAACUUUUGACCUUUUUUUGGCCUUGGGCUAUUAACACGACAAUUUUUCUUGUUUUUGACCAAUUCUUGUUAAUUUUGAUAAAUAGAUAAAACACUAUACAAAAAUAAUAAAGAUGAAGAAAACCCGAUUUAAAAAAAUGCUGAAAUGAUUGAAACUUUUGGAUGACUUAUAAGAAACAGUAGACAGUAAAAUAUCAGUACAAGAUCCAUAAUAAUGGGAGUUUGACCAAAUCAUUGAAUGAUCAUUUAUAUGACUUAUUGCCCAUUAAUGAUGAUUUUGUACUAACUUUUAUGUCUCAAAAACUUUACAGUUGAAAUAAUAAAGCAUGCAAGUCCAAAGUUAAAAUGCCUUGCUUGCAAACUUUCUUUAGCUAUUUGAUCAGAUAUUGUUAUUUUGAUUGACAUAUACAUUCAAUGGUUAGGUGGAGUAACAGUCUUCUAACUGUAUUAUUGGCCUACACAUUUAAUUUAGGUGUAUAUCUUAAUUACUUGUCUGAGCAAAUAAUCAAAGAAAGUUUGCAAGCAAGGCAUUUAAACUCAUGAUUUGCAUGCUUUAAUAUUUUAAUAGAUAGAUCAAAUUUGCACAGAGCAAACACGGAAACCAUUUACAAGAUUUAAAUGCCAGUAUGACAAAUAAAAUUGAGAAUGCAAACAAUCUUAAAAAAUGCCUAUGAGAACAAACCAAUAAAGAAUAAAUGAAACAACGAGUUUUUGUUUACUUGUUAAAAAUUGCACUUUAUACAUGUUUUUAAAUCUUAUUUAACAUUGCCAUAAAAGUGUGAGGUUUGCCUAGCCACAAAACC